AUGCAUCUUGUUCAUUGUGAUCAUAAUUACAUAUAUAAUUUCUGGCCUCGCGAAGGAGAAAGCAUCGCUCAAGCUUGGGGGAGGCUUAAGUCAAUGUUAUAUUCAUGCCCCAAUCAUCAGCUCUCAAGAGAUAUGAUUGUUCAAAAUUUUUAUGCUCGGCUUUCUCUCAAUGAUCGCACCAAGCUCGAUACUUCCUGUGUUGGUUCUUAUAUGUUGAAGACUACUCAAUUCAAAUGGUAUUUAUUGGAAAGAAUUACACGUAACUCCGAAGAUUGGGGUUCCGACGAUGGUAAGGAGUUAGGUAUAACACCUAAGUUUGAUUGUGUUAAAUCUUUUAUGGAUACCGAUGCUUUUCGUGGAUUUAGCGCUAAGUUUGGACUUGACUCUGAGAUAGUAGCUGCUUUUUGUGAAUCUUUUGCUACUCACGUUGAUCUCCCUAAGGAGAAGUGGUUUAAAUAUAAUCCUCCGAUUGAAGUAAAAGUAGUUGACCUAUUACAGUUGAAGAAAAGACUAUCACUUAUAAUGAUCCUAUUGUUCCUACUAGUUAUGUUGAGAAACCACCUUUUCCUGUUAGGAUAA
This 579-nucleotide ribosomal RNA is filed under the name Triticum aestivum (bread wheat). RNAcentral describes it as "partial small subunit ribosomal RNA". The record is from RNAcentral. Lineage: Eukaryota; Viridiplantae; Streptophyta; Magnoliopsida; Poales; Poaceae.